This 57-nucleotide small RNA is filed under the name Arabidopsis thaliana (thale cress). Its description in RNAcentral is "ATSL041760". Lineage: Eukaryota; Viridiplantae; Streptophyta; Magnoliopsida; Brassicales; Brassicaceae. The record is from RNAcentral.
GUGGUUUUACUGUUCAUUUGCUUGUGUGUAUAGCUCGUAGAUGGGAGGAUCACUUCA